Molecule: ribosomal RNA, 497 nt
Filed under: uncultured bacterium
Lineage: Bacteria
Description: partial 16S ribosomal RNA
Rfam family: Bacterial small subunit ribosomal RNA
Source: RNAcentral
GAUGAACGCUGGCGGCGUGCCUAAUACAUGCAAGUCGAGCGAACAGACGAGGAGCUUGCUCCUCUGACGUUAGCGGCGGACGGGUGAGUAACACGUGGAUAACCUACCUAUAAGACUGGGAUAACUUCGGGAAACCGGAGCUAAUACCGGAUAAUAUAUUGAACCGCAUGGUUCAAUAGUGAAAGACGGUUUUGCUGUCACUUAUAGAUGGAUCCGCGCCGCAUUAGCUAGUUGGUAAGGUAACGGCUUACCAAGGCAACGAUGCGUAGCCGACCUGAGAGGGUGAUCGGCCACACUGGAACUGAGACACGGUCCAGACUCCUACGGGAGGCAGCAGUAGGGAAUCUUCCGCAAUGGGCAAAAGCCUGACGGAGCAACGCCGCGUGAGUGGUGAAGGUCUUCGGAUCGUAAAACUCUGUUAUUAGGGAAGAACAAAUGUGUAAGUAACUAUGCACGUCUUGACGGUACCUAAUCAGAAAGCCACGGCUAACUACGUG